RNAcentral lists this ribosomal RNA (253 nucleotides) under uncultured bacterium. Its description in RNAcentral is "partial 16S ribosomal RNA". It matches the Rfam family "Bacterial small subunit ribosomal RNA", at positions 524 to 776 of the family's 1533-position model. The record is from RNAcentral.
UACGUAGGGGGCAAGCGUUAUCCGGAUUUACUGGGUGUAAAGGGGGCGCAGACGGCGACGCAAGCCAGGAGUGAAAGCCCGGGGCCCAACCCCGGGACUGCUCUUGGAACUGCGUGGCUGGAGUGCAGGAGGGGCAGGCGGAAUUCCUGGUGUAGCGGUGAAAUGCGUAGAUAUCAGGAGGAACACCGGUGGCGAAGGCGGCCUGCUGGACUGCAACUGACGUUGAGGCCCGAAAGCGUGGGGAGCAAACAGG